This 465-nucleotide ribosomal RNA is filed under the name Triticum aestivum (bread wheat). RNAcentral describes it as "partial small subunit ribosomal RNA". Lineage: Eukaryota; Viridiplantae; Streptophyta; Magnoliopsida; Poales; Poaceae. The record is from RNAcentral.
AUGUACUACCUUGUUGAUUCUGGUUAUCCUAACCGGGUGGGAUAUCUAGCUCCUUACAAAGGGACAACCUACCACCUUGCCGAAUUUCGGUCUGUCCGCCGCCCACCGAGUGGUAAAUUUGAGGUGUUCAAUUAUCUUCACUCUUCUCUUCGGAAUGUGAUUGAACGCACAUUUGGUGUGCUCAAGCAGAAAUGGCGCAUCCUAAGGGAUGUGCCACACUUCAAGGUGGGAAGUCAGACGAUGAUUAUCAGUGCUUGUAUGACGCUUCACAAUUUCAUCAGGGACAGCAAGCUACGCGAUAAAGAGUUUGAUAAAUGUGAUGAUAAUGAAAAUCACAUGCCUGCAGUCUCACGGUCAACACCUUUGCUUGGCGAUGUCGUUCCCACUUCAUCCGAUGAAGGCAACAUGAACGACACGCGAGAUAGGAUUGCGAGCUCUUUGUUUAUUGCGCGACAAGCUACAUAG